AAGGGCUUUGCAUAAUGGUUUUAUAGGUUCAUUCAGUGCUCUGAAGUCCUCAGGGAUAAAGCGCCACACUCCUCAACCUGAAUCACCAUAGUGCAGAAAGACACAUUUCUUACAUGCAACUAUUAAGAAAUGCUGCUUAGGUGACAGCAAGCCAAAGGCACUGUGGCAAACCUAAGGACGCGUCAAUCACUGCUCUGCUGAAUCCCGGGUUGUCCCGGCAUUUCAAGUCAAACUUCGGGAGAGAAUUAGGAAUCCCAACCGUGGCGAAAUGGUUGAUGAAACUCUGGGCAGGAGUGUGGCAAGGCAGGGAUGUAGUUGGGAAAGGCACCGGUGGAGGGACGUCAGCACGCGCAGUUCAUUCAGCCUUGAUAUCCAUCCUUGAUAUUCGACCUUGUCACAACAGGAGUGCUGCCAGAUCUGACUGUGAGAAACAACUGCUCACUUUGAAAAUUUAAAAAAUUUAUUAAACCUUAACAAAAAUACAGCAAAGGACUACAUAAGGAAAAAGUUGCAGAGCUGGGAAUUGCCCUGUGCAUGCCAUGUGGCUGGUUCAUCUUCAAGAUGGAUGCUCAGUCUUUUAUACCCCUGGGGGUUGCAUCAGCCAGCCCAGCCCUCCCACAGUCUGUCACUCAGCUCUUCUUUGCCAUUUAUCAGUGGAGAUUCCUCUCUUGUGACUCGAUUGGAGGUCAGGUGUUGCCAUGCUGCACCCCCUGAGCUUUUCCAUUCCCCACUGCCCCAGGUAAGGGGAAUUUGUGCACACCUUCUUUGUACCUGUCCUAGACACCUCAGGCUGUCUGAUGGCAAAAAUACAGGGGGGGAAGGGAACUGUGGGAAGAACAGAGGACAAUAACAUAACUAUACAUCACUAAAGCUUUUCUUAAUAUUCACACAAUAGUUAUCUUUUAAUUGCGAGAGCAAAUCAUCUCAUUAUCCAUCUAUAACAUCAACAAAACUUUCCAGAGCCUUUGGGAUGGAGUGCAGGUUUCAGGCAGCUCAUGGCUGUUUCAGGUUAACUUUAUGCCUCUCAUCCUGUGUGAAUGCAAUAAAGAUCAGCCCCUUCUCAUGGUAUUCUUUAGGCAAAGACUGUGUGCUUUAAGAUUCCACCAAAAUCCAGACCAAUCUUACAAAGGUCAUGCUGUAACACUGAAACCAACCCAGAAAUAGGAGGGGAAACCACAUGGUUAAAAUCCAGCUGCUGUUUUAUCCAGCUUGCUAAAUGCCUGUCAGUAUUUGUAUGUGCUUGUGCCUGCAGCAUCAGGAGUGCCAGCAGAGCUGGACUUUCAGUUUCACAUGGACUUUGAGUGAAAGGGAGGAAAGUUCCCUGCACACACCACAAGUGCAGGCUGUCCCUUCAAAGGUACACAGCAGGGUACUGAAAUAUGUAAAGGUAUUGCCAGCAGAGUCUGGCUGCCUGGCUGGGACAGCUGCACUGCAGACACACAAACUCUCUCAAGCACAUGGAGAGCCCAGAGGAGAGGGAAAUGAAUGGCAGCAGCUGGAUGGAGCGUGGCC
Molecule: long non-coding RNA, 1512 nt
Organism: Zonotrichia leucophrys gambelii
Lineage: Eukaryota; Metazoa; Chordata; Aves; Passeriformes; Passerellidae
Exons: 3
Source: RefSeq, a predicted model, not a curated record